Salvia miltiorrhiza (redroot sage) is the source of this 331-nucleotide long non-coding RNA. RefSeq lists it as uncharacterized. The record is from RefSeq and is a predicted model, not a curated record. NCBI's taxonomy places the organism in Eukaryota, Viridiplantae, Streptophyta, Magnoliopsida, Lamiales, Lamiaceae. The transcript has 2 exons.
UACUUGUAUUCAUAAUAUAAUUUUUCUUUUUUCCAAGGUAAAUUGGAGGACACACAUUCUUAUUCUAUUGUUACCGAAGAUUGUGAUGAAGAUGGAGAUCAAAUUGAUUAUAUUGAUAUGGAUGUUGAUGAUGUCGAAAGUAGCUGCAAUAUGGAAGACAUCUUUGAGGAUUACAGAAAUUGAUCGUUUCAAUAUUAGGAUUAUUAUGUUCUCAUUUUGGAUUGUUUGGUUUUAAAUGAAUUAUGAUGUUCUUAUUUAUUUUGGAUUGUUUAGUUUUAAAUGGAUUAUGGUGUAUUUUGUAUUCUUGAAUGAUUGUUGAAACUUUAGACAA